This 497-nucleotide ribosomal RNA is filed under the name uncultured bacterium. RNAcentral describes it as "partial 16S ribosomal RNA". It matches the Rfam family "Bacterial small subunit ribosomal RNA", at positions 28 to 507 of the family's 1533-position model. The record is from RNAcentral.
GAUGAACGCUGGCGGCGUGCCUAAUACAUGCAAGUCGAGCGAACGGACGAGAAGCUUGCGUCUCUGAUGUUAGCGGCGGACGGGUGAGUAACACGUGGAUAACCUACCUAUAAGACUGGGAUAACUUCGGGAAACCGGUGCUAAUACCGGAUAAUAUUUUGAACCGCAUGGUUCAAAAGUGAAAGACGGUCUUGCUGUCACUUAUAGAUGGAUCCGCGCUGCAUUAGCUAGUUGGUAAGGUAACGGCUUACCAAGGCAACGAUGCAUAGCCGACCUGAGAGGGUGAUCGGCCACACUGGAACUGAGACACGGUCCAGACUCCUACGGGAGGCAGCAGUAGGGAAUAUUCCGCAAUGGGCGCAAGCCUGACGGAGCCACGCCGCGUGAGUGAUGAAGGUCUUCGGAUCGUAAAACCCUGUUAUUAGGGAAGAACAUAUGUGUAAGUAAAUGUGCCCAUCUUGACGGUACCUAAUCAGAAAGCCCCGGCUAACUACGUG